Molecule: ribosomal RNA, 865 nt
Filed under: Shigella sonnei
Lineage: Bacteria; Pseudomonadati; Pseudomonadota; Gammaproteobacteria; Enterobacterales; Enterobacteriaceae
Description: partial 23S ribosomal RNA
Rfam family: Bacterial large subunit ribosomal RNA
Source: RNAcentral
UGUGUGUGUUAGUGGAAGCGUCUGGAAAGGCGUGCGAUACAGGGUGACAGCCCCGUACACAAAAAUGCACAUAUUGUGAGCUUGAUGAGUAGGGCGGGACACGUGGUAUCCUGUCUGAAUAUGGGGGGACCAUCCUCCAAGGCUAAAUACUCCUGACUGACCGAUAGUGAACCAGUACCGUGAGGGAAAGGCGAAAAGAACCCCGGCGAGGGGAGUGAAAAAGAACCUGAAACCGUGUACGUACAAGCAGUGGGAGCACGCUUAGGCGUGUGACUGCGUACCUUUUGUAUAAUGGGUCAGCGACUUAUAUUCUGUAGCAAGGUUAACCGAAUAGGGGAGCCGAAGGGAAACCGAGUCUUAACUGGGCGUUAAGUUGCAGGGUAUAGACCCGAAACCCGGUGAUCUAGCCAUGGGCAGGUUGAAGGUUGGGUAACACUAACUGGAGGACCGAACCGACUAAUGUUGAAAAAUUAGCGGAUGACUUGUGGCUGGGGGUGAAAGGCCAAUCAAACCGGGAGAUAGCUGGUUCUCCCCGAAAGCUAUUUAGGUAGCGCCUCGUGAAUUCAUCUCCGGGGGUAGAGCACUGUUUCGGCAAGGGGGUCAUCCCGACUUACCAACCCGAUGCAAACUGCGAAUACCGGAGAAUGUUAUCACGGGAGACACACGGCGGGUGCUAACGUCCGUCGUGAAGAGGGAAACAACCCAGACCGCCAGCUAAGGUCCCAAAGUCAUGGUUAAGUGGGAAACGAUGUGGGAAGGCCCAGACAGCCAGGAUGUUGGCUUAGAAGCAGCCAUCAUUUAAAGAAAGCGUAAUAGCUCACUGGUCGAGUCGGCCUGCGCGGAAGAUGUAACGGGGCUAAACCAU